Thalictrum thalictroides is the source of this 141-nucleotide non-coding RNA. NCBI's taxonomy places the organism in Eukaryota, Viridiplantae, Streptophyta, Magnoliopsida, Ranunculales, Ranunculaceae. The record is from the annotation of a GenBank genome assembly.
GUUGCUUCUUACUCAUGAACUCCUUCAUAGUGAAGGAUGAGUCAUACUUUUAUUGGAAGCAUAGAUUAAUAUAAUACCAGUAUUAAACAGCAUGGUGUUUUCAUUUAUGUUGCACUAUGUUACCUGUCUUCUGGGACAUAU